Molecule: ribosomal RNA, 131 nt
Filed under: uncultured bacterium
Lineage: Bacteria
Description: partial 16S ribosomal RNA
Rfam family: Bacterial small subunit ribosomal RNA
Source: RNAcentral
GGGCCCGCACAAGCGGUGGAGCAUGUGGUUUAAUUCGACGCAACGCGAAGAACCUUACCAGGGCUUGACAUCUACAGAAUCUUUGGGAAACCAAGGAGUGCCUUUCGGGGAACUGUAAGACAGGUGGUGCA